GAGAGAGAGAGAGAGAGAGAGAGAGAGAGAGAGAGAGAGGUAGACAGAGUGAGAGAGGUAGACAGAGUGUGUGAGAGAGAGAGAGAGAGGUAGACAGAGUGAGAGAGGUAGACAGAGUAAGAGUGAGAGAUAUAUUCACUUUAUAUAUUAUCUACCUCACUUGCUUUGGCAAUGUUAACACAUGUUUCCCAUGCCAAUAAAGCCCUUGAAUUGAAUUGAAAUUGAAUUGAGAGGUAGACAGAGUGAGAGAGAUGGACAGAGUGAGAGAGGUAGAGUGAAAAAGGUAGACAGAGUGAGAGAGGUAGACAGAGUGAGAGAGGGAGAGAGAGUAAGAGCGAGAGAGGUAGAGUGAGAAAGGUAGACAGAGUGAGAGAGGUAGACAGAGUGAGAGAGGGAGAGAGAGUAAGAGCGAGAGAGGUAGAGUGAGAGAGGUAGACAGAGUGAGAGAGGUAGACAGAGUGAGAGAGGUAGACAGAGUGAGAGAGGUAGACAGAGUGAGAGAGGUAGACAGAGUGAGAGAGGGAG
Molecule: long non-coding RNA, 525 nt
Organism: Oncorhynchus tshawytscha (Chinook salmon)
Lineage: Eukaryota; Metazoa; Chordata; Actinopteri; Salmoniformes; Salmonidae
Source: Ensembl